This is a long non-coding RNA of Dreissena polymorpha, 452 nucleotides long. RefSeq lists it as uncharacterized. The record is from RefSeq and is a predicted model, not a curated record. Lineage: Eukaryota; Metazoa; Mollusca; Bivalvia; Myida; Dreissenidae. The transcript is spliced from 4 exons.
CUCACCUGGGUGUUCGGUAUCUUCGCAGUCAACAAGGACACGCUCGUCUUCCAGUACUUGUUUGCCAUCUUCAACAGUCUGCAGGGGUUCCUGAUAUUUCUGGUACAAUGCGUGUUUGACAGAAAAGUACGCGACGCUCUCCGCCAGAGGAAGUUACCAUGGUUCACAUCUACCGACGUUCAUACCGGAGACACAGAGAUGAGGUCUACACAGAAAUCUACUUAACACAGUGUCAGUGUGUCCACAUAGAAGCGAGAGUCAAUACAAAGUACAAGGCGGCUCUACUCAUAUGAUUGAUUUCAUAAGUGUUGUAUUCGUGAUCAUUGGGCUGUAUCAUAGUGGCGAACCUUAUUCAAUUAUGCAUGACCGCUUUUAAUAUAAUUGUUUGUAUUAUGGUGAGAUGUAUUUAUGGAGUUUGAACAGUUUGAAAAGUAGUGAAUAUUUAGUGCAAA